Molecule: ribosomal RNA, 252 nt
Filed under: uncultured bacterium
Lineage: Bacteria
Description: partial 16S ribosomal RNA
Rfam family: Bacterial small subunit ribosomal RNA
Source: RNAcentral
GAUGGGGGGGGGCAAGUGUUCUUCGGAAUGACUGGGCGUAAAGGGCACGUAGGCGGUGAAUCGGGUUGAAAGUGAAAGUCGCCAAAAAGUGGCGGAAUGCUCUCGAAACCAAUUCACUUGAGUGAGACAGAGGAGAGUGGAAUUUCGUGUGUAGGGGUGAAAUCCGUAGAUCUACGAAGGAACGCCAAAAGCGAAGGCAGCUCUCUGGGUCCCUACCGAUGCUGGGGUGCGAAAGCAUGGGGAGCGAAUAGG